AGAGUUUGAUCCUGGCUCAGGACGAACGCUGGCGGCGUGCUUAACACAUGCAAGUCGAACGGUGAAGGGGAGCUUGCUCCCCGGAUCAGUGGCGAACGGGUGAGUAACACGUGGGCAACCUGCCCCAGACUUCGGGAUAACGCUUCGAAAGAGGUGCUAAUACCGGAUACGAACCUCCCUGGCAUCUGGGAGGUUGGAAAGUUUUUCGGUCUGGGAUGGGCCCGCGGCCUAUCAGCUUGUUGGUGAGGUAACGGCUCACCAAGGCGACGACGGGUAGCCGGCCUGAGAGGGCGACCGGCCACACUGGGACUGAGACACGGCCCAGACUCCUACGGGAGGCAGCAGUGGGGAAUAUUGCGCAAUGGGCGAAAGCCUGACGCAGCAACGCCGCGUGAGGGAUGACGGCCUUCGGGUUGUAAACCUCUUUCAGCGGGGAAGAAGCGAAAGUGACGGUACCUGCAGAAGAAGCACCGGCUAACUACGUGCCAGCAGCCGCGGUAAUACGUAGGGUGCAAGCGUUGUCCGGAUUUAUUGGGCGUAAAGAGCUCGUAGGCGGUUAGUCACGUCGGAUGUGAAAACUCAGAGCUUAACUCUGAGCCUGCAUUCGAUACGGGCUGACUAGAGUGUUGUAGGGGAGACUGGAACUCCUGGUGUAGCGGUGAAAUGCGCAGAUAUCAGGAAGAACACCGGUGGCGNNNNCGGGUCUCUGGGCAACUACUGACGCUGNNNNNCGAAAGCGUGGGGAGCAAACAGGAU
This 756-nucleotide ribosomal RNA is filed under the name uncultured bacterium. RNAcentral's name for it is "bacterial SSU rRNA". It matches the Rfam family "Bacterial small subunit ribosomal RNA", at positions 8 to 778 of the family's 1533-position model. The record is from RNAcentral.